GUCUAUGGCCAUACCACCCUGAACACGCCUGAUCUCAUCUGACCUCGGAAGCUAAGCAGGGUCAGGCCUGGUUAGUACUUGGAGGGGAGAAAUAUAUGGUAGUAUAAUUU
RNAcentral lists this ribosomal RNA (110 nucleotides) under Propithecus coquereli (Coquerel's sifaka). Lineage: Eukaryota; Metazoa; Chordata; Mammalia; Primates; Indriidae. The record is from RNAcentral.